This 844-nucleotide long non-coding RNA is filed under the name Hordeum vulgare. RNAcentral describes it as "long non-coding RNA (HVUL_LNC013407)". Lineage: Eukaryota; Viridiplantae; Streptophyta; Magnoliopsida; Poales; Poaceae. The record is from RNAcentral.
CAAGCCUCCUCUCUCUACCGAUAAGUCCCCACCUCGACCCGUCAACGCUUGGCGAAGCCCUGUCGGUGUUCUGCUGCCAUUACGACCACCACACCGUUGUGUUGGUUCAUAUCUCAUCUACCUAUUAUCCCUCUCUUGUUGGAUAAAGAAGGAGAAUACAUCAUCGAGAUGUACGUAUGCUAAACACGGACGUGUCGCACCUGCGGUGCUUGGAUCGGAUUAAAUCGCGACGCAUGUAUGACUACGCCAACUACGAUCUCUAGAUCGUUGACGCUUUUGGUCUACAAGGGUAUGAAGACACCCCUCUCAUUGAUAGCAUCUACGUAGAAUAGAUCUUGGGUGUUCCAUAGUAUUGUUUUUUGUUACCCAUGCAACGUUCUCCAACAUUAACAAUGCAGCAACGCACGCCCAACCCUUCUAGUGUAUAUCAUUUGUGGCUUUGGCUCCAAUUCAUAAGGAUGAUUAGGAGGGCCCUGGUACCUUUGGCCUACCAGGGGAUCGAAUGUCACGUUUGAGACCUGGUUUCUCAUAAAGGUGGAAUAAUCGUUCAGUAUGAGACGACGUUCCCAUCGAGAGCAAGACAUCUAUGAUGACUUAGUCAAUCUGAUGACCCAUCGGCUUAGUCUUUUGAAAAUGCUCAUUGUGGUAGGUGUGCAUGUGUGCAUUUAUAGGGAUGAGUGUAUGCAUGCCUGGCCAAAUGGGCCGACACGACAUGACCCGUCGUAAAUGGGCCCGGCCCGGCCCGCCGAGGCACGAAAAUUAGACGGCCCGUGUCAUGUCGGCCCACGUGUUCACCCUCCAGGCCCACACACGGCACGAGAGCUAUGUGGGCCGGCUCGUUGGC